This 465-nucleotide ribosomal RNA is filed under the name uncultured Klebsiella sp. Its description in RNAcentral is "bacterial SSU rRNA". It matches the Rfam family "Bacterial small subunit ribosomal RNA", at positions 338 to 795 of the family's 1533-position model. Lineage: Bacteria; Pseudomonadati; Pseudomonadota; Gammaproteobacteria; Enterobacterales; Enterobacteriaceae. The record is from RNAcentral.
CCUACGGGGGGCAGCAGUGGGGAAUAUUGCACAAUGGGCGCAAGCCUGAUGCAGCCAUGCCGCGUGUGUGAAGAAGGCCUUCGGGUUGUAAAGCACUUUCAGCGGGGAGGAAGGCGUUAAGGUUAAUAACCUUGGCGAUUGACGUUACCCGCAGAAGAAGCACCGGCUAACUCCGUGCCAGCAGCCGCGGUAAUACGGAGGGUGCAAGCGUUAAUCGGAAUUACUAGGCGUAAAGCGCACGCAGGCGGUCUGUCAAGUCGGAUGUGAAAUCCCCGGGCUCAACCUGGGAACUGCAUUCGAAACUGGCAGGCUAGAGUCUUGUAGAGGGGGGUAGAAUUCCAGGUGUAGCGGUGAAAUGCGUAGAGAUCUGGAGGAAUACCGGUGGCGAAGGCGGCCCCCUGGACAAAGACUGACGCUCAGGUGCGAAAGCGUGGGGAGCAAACAGGAUUAGAUACCCGUGUAGUC